AUUGAACGCUGGCGGAAUGCUUUACACAUGCAAGUCGAACGGUAGAGGGGGCAACCCCUUGAGAGUGGCGAACGGGUGAGUAAUAUAUCGGAACGUGCCCAGUCGUGGGGAUAACGGUAGCGAAAGUUACGCUAAUACCGCAUACGAUCUAAGGAUGAAAGCGGGGGAUCGCAAGACCUCGCGCGAUUGGAGCGGCCGAUAUCAGAUUAGGUAGUUGGUGGGGUAAAGGCUCACCAAGCCAACGAUCUGUAGCUGGUCUGAGAGGACGACCAGCCACACUGGGACUGAGACACGGCCCAGACUCCUACGGGAGGCAGCAGUGGGGAAUUUUGGACAAUGGGCGCGAAGCCUGAUCCAGCAAUGCCGCGUGCAGGAUGAAGGCCUU
Molecule: ribosomal RNA, 385 nt
Filed under: uncultured bacterium
Lineage: Bacteria
Description: bacterial SSU rRNA
Rfam family: Bacterial small subunit ribosomal RNA
Source: RNAcentral